UGGAGACACCAUGUCUUCCAAGAGAACAGUUGCGUUACCUGAACUGCAAGAAGAAGAUGAAGAAGACGCUUACCCUGAGCAAAAUCGUCAAUCACAGUUUCAAGUGCAAAUAAUAGUAACUCCUAGCCAAGGUUGUGAUAGAGGAGCUGAAAUUCGUGUUGUGGGUGGCACGCCAAGAAAUACAAAUCGAAAACUUCCUCCGAUACAUGGACAUGAUCAAUCUCGAGCGAAUGAGUCUCCAUCUGGUGCAACCUCAAACAACUUGCAUGGCAGAGGCUGCCAUGGUUUAAUUUUCAAAGGCUCAACAAAGCAUGGUGGUUAUCGCAGUAUAGGCAGAAAAACUGA
Long non-coding RNA from Zophobas morio, 345 nucleotides. RefSeq lists it as uncharacterized. The transcript is spliced from 3 exons. The record is from RefSeq and is a predicted model, not a curated record. Lineage: Eukaryota; Metazoa; Arthropoda; Insecta; Coleoptera; Tenebrionidae.